Molecule: non-coding RNA, 413 nt
Organism: Callithrix jacchus (white-tufted-ear marmoset)
Lineage: Eukaryota; Metazoa; Chordata; Mammalia; Primates; Cebidae
Source: RefSeq, a predicted model, not a curated record
GUCUUCUGAUAUUCACGAUCCCAUUGGCAAGUUCAUUCCUGAUGUGGAGAUACAGACAUCGAACUUUCGCCCUGAUUCCAUGAAAUGUUUUAUUUACCCAGCCUCCAUUGUUCAGAUUUUCGUUCAUCUCCAUGGAGACAAGGUCUCACUAUGUUGCCCUGAUUGGUCUCCAACUCCUGGACUCAAGCAAUCCUCCUGCCUCAGCCUCCCAAAGUGCUGGGAUUACAGUCAUGAGCUACCACAUAUUUCUUAGUAAUGACAAGAUUCUUAUUUGAAAGGAAAUGGACAACAUUCCAGAAUUGGUGAGAAGGAAUUUGCAUCACUAGGUAAAGCGUCUAUUUUUUUGUUUUUGUUUUCUUUUUCAUUUUUGUUUCAAGAGGUCACACUGAAGGAAACCCAUCUAAUUAAUGGGA